UUACAGAUUGGAAUGGACCACAAGUAGAAAAAAGGGAAUCACACACCUCAUCAAAGAAUGGAAACUGAUGGUCAGGAAUGGACGGGUGCAUCGCUGGACGUGUUUGCUAAUGGAGAGCAGGCAGAAGAGAGAGACUCACAGGCGAAUUGGUGGACAUUCCCCCCAAAAAAUGCUGAAAAACAGCAGGAAGGGUUUUGUUGGGGUUGUCUUGUUUUUUUGCAGGUUGAAUUGGAGCAGAAGAAGGAGACUCGCAAGAAGAACGGUGGAGACAUACUUGAAGACCUGGAGCUAAUGAAGCAGACUGGGACAGAGCAUGUGGAGGAACAGGGAAACACACUUCAGUAAUGACAAGUACAUCAUAAUAAAUUAGAGUGGAGUGGAGAAACGAAGGAAUCACACAUCUCAGCCAUGAUAAGACUCUGAUAAUCAGGUAUCACCUAUUAACAACAGAUGUUCAAGAGGAAGGGGGUGGUGGUGG
Molecule: long non-coding RNA, 478 nt
Filed under: Danio rerio (zebrafish)
Lineage: Eukaryota; Metazoa; Chordata; Actinopteri; Cypriniformes; Danionidae
Description: lncRNA si:rp71-1d10.7 (ENSDARG00000103274.2)
Source: RNAcentral